RNAcentral lists this ribosomal RNA (465 nucleotides) under uncultured bacterium. RNAcentral's name for it is "bacterial SSU rRNA". It matches the Rfam family "Bacterial small subunit ribosomal RNA", at positions 338 to 795 of the family's 1533-position model. The record is from RNAcentral.
CCUACGGGGCGCACCAGUGGGGAAUAUUGCACAAUGGGCGCAAGCCUGAUGCAGCCAUGCCGCGUGUAUGAAGAAGGCCUUCGGGUUGUAAAGUACUUUCAGCGGGGAGGGAGGUGUUGAGGUUAAUAACCUCAGCAAUUGACGUUACCCGCAGAAGAAGCACCGGCUAACUCCGUGCCAGCAGCCGCGGUAAUACGGAGGGUGCAAGCGUUAAUCGGAAUUACUGGGCGUAAAGCGCACGCAGGCGGUCUGUCAAGUCGGAUGUGAAAUCCCCGGGCUCAACCUGGGAACUGCAUUCGAAACUGGCAGGCUGGAGUCUUGUAGAGGGGGGUAGAGUUCCAGGUGUAGCGGCGAAAUGCGUAGAGAUCUGGAGGAAUACCGGUGGCGAAGGCGGCCCCCUGGACAAAGACUGACGCUCAGGCGCGAAAGCGUGGGGAGCAAACAGGAUUAGAUACCCCGGUAGUC